UUACAUAGAGUUAACUACAAAAUUCGUUUCAUUAAAACUUUGUUUAAAAAUUUUUAAUUCUAUCAAAGCAUUGGUAACGAAUAUGAAAACCAGGGGAAGCAAUAAUAGUUUCUUAACCUUUCUACAGCAGUUCAGGAGCUGGAAUUCGCACCUAACGCUAGUUCAAACUGCUAGGAUUGGUCGCGCUACCUGGGACUCUUUGACUGCCCAAGAAAAAUUGGUUUACCGUAUCGUCGACGAGAGUCCCGGGAACGCAGGUGCGGAUUGCGGCCCCUGUAAGAAAACAACAAAAAAGGCCGCCUGCGCGAAAAAGAAGAAAAAGGGCUGUGGACAGAAAAAGAAAACAAAUGCGGGUCGUAAAGGGAAGAAGCGUAAGCCAAAGCGCAAGGUCUGCGUGAAGCGCAAGGUUUGCACGACGCGCAAGAAAAUCUGCUGAUAACAAUCAACAAUUAAUACUGGAAGUAAAAGAAAUGGUGGAAAAUAAGAUCUAAUGCUUCCAGUCUGUACCACCACCACCACCACCAGCACCACCACUAAAAAUCCACAUAUCUUGAUGCUACAUAUUCACCAUUUACCAGGCAAAAGCUAAAUAACUCUCAAGGUGGAUGAUAGCUAAAUGUGUAACGUGCAACCUAAAGGAUCCUUAUUUUUAUGUGCCAGCCAAAAACCAAAAAACAUUUCCUCAAACAUUGUAAGAUAGAAGUACCCAAAAUAUUUAUUUCAAGAAAAAAAAUGUUUAAUUAAAAUAAAAUGUCCCCUUAUAAAACAUUGUAUGGAGCCACAAUGUUUUGGACAACAAAACCUUAUAA
This is a long non-coding RNA of Teleopsis dalmanni, 809 nucleotides long. RefSeq lists it as uncharacterized. The transcript has 6 exons. NCBI's taxonomy places the organism in Eukaryota, Metazoa, Arthropoda, Insecta, Diptera, Diopsidae. The record is from RefSeq and is a predicted model, not a curated record.